CCUACGGGAGGCAGCAGUGGGGAAUAUUGCGCAAUGGGCGCAAGCCUGAUGCAGCCAUGCCGCGUGUAUGAAGAAGGCCUUCGGGUUGUAAAGUACUUUCAGCGGGGAGGAAGGUGUUGUGGUUAAUAACCGCAGCAAUUGACGUCACCCGCAGAAGAAGCACCGGCUAACUCCGUGCCAGCAGCCGCGGUAAUACGGAGGGUGCAAGCGUUAAUCGGAAUUACUGGGCGUAAAGCGCACGCAGGCGGUCUGUCAAGUCGGAUGUGAAAUCCCCGGGCCCAACCUGGGAACUGCAUUCGAAACUGGCAGGCUAGAGUCUUGUAGAGGGGGGUAGAAUUCCAGGUGUAGCGGUGAAAUGCGUAGAGAUCUGGGGGAAUACCGGUGGCGAAGGCGGCCCCCUGGACAAAGACUGACGCUCAGGUGCGAAAGCGUGGGGAGCAAACAGGAUUAGAUACCCUAGUAGUC
RNAcentral lists this ribosomal RNA (465 nucleotides) under uncultured bacterium. RNAcentral's name for it is "bacterial SSU rRNA". It matches the Rfam family "Bacterial small subunit ribosomal RNA", at positions 338 to 795 of the family's 1533-position model. The record is from RNAcentral.